CUACUUGGAUAACCGUGGUAAUUCUAGAGCUAAUACAUGCUAAAAACCCCGACUUCGGGAGGGGUGUAUUUAUUAGAUAAAAAACCAAUGCCCUUCGGGGCUCCUUGGUGAAUCAUAAUAACUUAACGGAUCGCAUGGCCUUGCGCCGGCGACGGUUCAUUCAAAUUUCUGCCCUAUCAACUUUCGAUUGUAGGGUAUUGGCCUACAAUGGUAUCAACGGGUAACGGGGAAUUAGGGUUCGAUUCCGGAGAGGGAGCCUGAGAAACGGCUACCACAUCCAAGGAAGGCAGCAGGCGCGCAAAUUACCCAAUCCCGACACGGGGAGGUAGUGACAAUAAAUACUGAUACAGGGCUCUUUUGGGUCUUGUAAUUGGAAUGAGUACAAUUUAAAUCCCUUAACGAGGAACAAUUGGAGGGCAAGUCUGGUGCCAGCAGCCGCGGUAAUUCCAGCUCCAAUAGCGUAUAUUAAAGUUGUUGCAGUUAAAAAGCUCGUAGUUGAACCUUGGGUCUGGCUGGCCGGUCCGCCUCACCGCGUGCACUGGUCCGGCCGGACCUUUCCUUCUGGAGAACCGCAUGCCCUUCACUGGGUGUGUCGGGGAACCAGGACUUUUACUUUGAAAAAAUUAGAGUGUUCAAAGCAGGCCUUUGCUCGAAUACAUUAGCAUGGAAUAAUAGAAUAGGACGUGCGGUCCUAUUUUGUUGGUUUCUAGGACCGCCGUAAUGAUUAAUAGGGAUAGUCGGGGGCAUCAGUAUUCAAUUGUCAGAGGUGAAAUUCUUAGAUUUAUUGAAGACUAACUACUGCGAAAGCAUUUGCCAAGGAUGUUUUCAUU
Molecule: ribosomal RNA, 830 nt
Filed under: Rhytidhysteron yunnanense
Lineage: Eukaryota; Fungi; Ascomycota; Dothideomycetes; Hysteriales; Hysteriaceae
Description: SSU rRNA
Rfam family: Eukaryotic small subunit ribosomal RNA
Source: RNAcentral